AUCCAGCUGAUGAGUCCCAUAUAGGACGAAAUACACAUCCUGGUU
RNAcentral lists this non-coding RNA (45 nucleotides) under Schistosoma margrebowiei. Lineage: Eukaryota; Metazoa; Platyhelminthes; Trematoda; Strigeidida; Schistosomatidae. The record is from RNAcentral.